RNAcentral lists this ribosomal RNA (459 nucleotides) under uncultured bacterium. RNAcentral describes it as "partial 16S ribosomal RNA". It matches the Rfam family "Bacterial small subunit ribosomal RNA", at positions 338 to 795 of the family's 1533-position model. The record is from RNAcentral.
CCUACGGGAGGCAGCAGUGAGGAAUAUUGGUCAAUGGACGAGAGUCUGAACCAGCCAAGUAGCGUGAAGGAUGACUGCCCUAUGGGUUGUAAACUUCUUUUAUAAAGGAAUAAAACGAGGCACGUGUGCCUUUUGCAUGUACUUUAUGAAUAAGGAUCGGCUAACUCCGUGCCAGCAGCCGCGGUAAUACGUAGGAUCCGAGCGUUAUCCGGAUUUAUUGUGUGUAAAGGGAGCGUAGAUGGGUUGUUAAGGCAGUUGUGAAAGUUUGCGGCUCAACCGUAAAAUUGCAAUGGAUACUGGCAGUCUUGAGUACAGUUGAGGUAGGCGGAAUUCGUGGUGUAGCGGUGAAAUGCUUAGAUAUCACGAAGAACCCCGAUUGCGAAGGCAGCUUACUAAACUGUGACUGACAUUGAUGCUCGAAAGUGUGGGUAUCAAACAGGAUUAGAUACCCGGGUAGUC